Molecule: transfer RNA, 76 nt
Filed under: Candidatus Pacearchaeota archaeon
Lineage: Archaea; Nanobdellati
Description: tRNA-Thr
Rfam family: tRNA
About the family: Transfer RNA (tRNA) molecules are approximately 80 nucleotides in length. Their secondary structure includes four short double-helical elements and three loops (D, anti-codon, and T loops). Further hydrogen bonds mediate the characteristic L-shaped molecular structure. tRNAs have two regions of fundamental functional importance: the anti-codon, which is responsible for specific mRNA codon recognition, and the 3' end, to which the tRNAs corresponding amino acid is attached (by aminoacyl-tRNA synthetases). tRNAs cope with the degeneracy of the genetic code in two manners: having more than one tRNA (with a specific anti-codon) for a particular amino acid; and 'wobble' base-pairing, i.e. permitting non-standard base-pairing at the 3rd anti-codon position.
Source: RNAcentral
GCUCCUGUAGCUCAGUUCUGGUUAGAGCGCUACAUUGGUAAUGUAGAGGUCCUGAGUUCGAAUCUCAGCAGGGGCU